RNAcentral lists this ribosomal RNA (253 nucleotides) under uncultured bacterium. Its description in RNAcentral is "partial 16S ribosomal RNA". It matches the Rfam family "Bacterial small subunit ribosomal RNA", at positions 524 to 776 of the family's 1533-position model. The record is from RNAcentral.
UACGUAGGGUGCAAGCGUUGUCCGGAAUUAUUGGGCGUAAAGAGCUCGUAGGCGGUUUGUCGCGUCUGCUGUGAAAACCCGAGGCUCAACCUCGGGCCUGCAGUGGGUACGGGCAGACUAGAGUGCGGUAGGGGAGAUUGGAAUUCCUGGUGUAGCGGUGGAAUGCGCAGAUAUCAGGAGGAACACCGGUGGCGAAGGCGGGUCUCUGGGCCGUUACUGACGCUGAGGAGCGAAAGCGUGGGGAGCGAACAGG